UACGGAGGGUGCAAGCGUUAUCCGGAUUCACUGGGUUUAAAGGGUGCGUAGGUGGGUCUGUAAGUCAGUGGUGAAAUCUUCGAGCUUAACUCGGAAACUGCCAUUGAUACUAUAGAUCUUGAAUUUUCUGGAGGUAAGCGGAAUAUGUCAUGUAGCGGUGAAAUGCUUAGAUAUGACAUAGAACACCAAUUGCGAAGGCAGCUUACUACGGGAACAUUGACACUGAGGCACGAAAAGCGUGGGGGAUCAAACAGGG
Molecule: ribosomal RNA, 256 nt
Filed under: uncultured bacterium
Lineage: Bacteria
Description: partial 16S ribosomal RNA
Rfam family: Bacterial small subunit ribosomal RNA
Source: RNAcentral